UUGAUCUAACUAUGGAGGAUGGAUAUGCUAGAAAAGUUUAAUGUAAUAACCUCCUGGCCUAUGGAUUUCUUUUACUGCUGAUUGGACCAAUCCAACUAGCACCACCCCCCACAGCUCGGCCUUAGACAAAUAUGGGAGGAAGGUUCUUUGGAUGGAUUCUUCCAGCAAUGUGCGUAGGUAGUAUAAAUGACAUCUCUGUAGCAUUUGCGUGGAGAAAGAGCCAAAUGGAGGAGGAUCUUCGAAGAACAGGGGAUGGCAUAUUCCGGUGGAGACCUGCGCAGCGUUUAGACGCGACCAAAAGGCGUUCGCUGCUGCUGCUGCUGCAGCAAUGACGACUUUUGGUGACGCUUCGGGGGCCAAAAGCGACGCGGCGAAGCGAAACGAGUGACUCGUCGCCAUGGUGGAGCUGCGCUGCGACGGGGAGGGUGAAUGCGGGUGCUCCGCGUCGAGCACCUUAGCUGCAUGUGGGGACACACGGGAUUUGUUUACUUCAGCGACAACAUCUGAUGGUGGUCUCUCCUUAUGCCAAGAUAGCAUCGGUCCUCCAUGGGGAUUCUGACGGCAAACUACCAAACAGAUGCAGUGCAUUCCUUUCAUCACACUGGGACUGCGAACAAGUUGCUGAUGGAUUUCGUCUUUCUCCGUCUCCUUUUCGG
Molecule: non-coding RNA, 656 nt
Organism: Musa acuminata subsp. malaccensis (wild Malaysian banana)
Lineage: Eukaryota; Viridiplantae; Streptophyta; Magnoliopsida; Zingiberales; Musaceae
Source: RefSeq, a predicted model, not a curated record